GAUUUCUAUACUGGAGGAACCUCAAUUGGAACCUCAUUUUCCAGUUUAUUGAUAUAAAGAAAAAGUAAAUACAUAAUGAACUUUCUUUUUUUGUGUCAAAUGUUUCUUUUUAGCUUAACAAGUAGAUAUCAUGCUAGUGUCCUUAACCAACCAAGUAGUCUAAGAAGAGCACUGUCCAGCACAUCUGAUUUUUUUUCAAACCCUAAGUCAGCUGCAACACGAUGAGCGCACAUUACUCCUGAAAAGGCUACAGCUAUAACACCUUGUCCUGGGAAGCAACUAUCGCCAACACAAUAUAGACCAUCUAUAGCAGUGGUAUUGAAAGGCAUUCCCAGGAGUCCCUUAGGUGUUCCGCGUGGCAUUGGUCCAUAGGUACCACUAUCACGAGCAAGGUAUCGUCUGUGGGUCUUUGGAGUUCCCACCUCCUUAAAGAGAAUAGAUGACUUAAGCCCUGGGAAGAGUGUUUUUUCAAGUCUGCUUAUAAUCCUUUCAGCAACAACCUCUUUCUUCGCUUCAUAGUCUUUCGGAGAGAGUCCCUCCCAAUCUUCAAUGCUCGAUGUUGUAAAAAUGUGAAGAAUAUGGUGUCCUUCUGGGGCCAAUGAGGAAUCAAGAACUGUUGGAAUACUCAAGAAUAUACUUCCAUAUGGUUUCUCCAAAUUUGUCCAAUCAUCCUCGAGGACAAAAUGGUGACAAUCUGUGUCUGGUGGGAGUACAUCUGCUUUAACUCCCAUAUGAAUAGAAAGAAAAGAAGGUGCUUUUACAUAAGCUUUCUGGAAAUUUUCUUCUUCUUUUGGCAGAUUCUCAGCUUUUAAAAGCUUUCCAAAAGUAUCCCAUCUGGUAGCAUUCGAUACUAUGGUUUUAGCAUAAAACUUCCUCCCGUCAGAAAGCUUCACUCCCACAGCUUUGCCAUUGUCCAAAAUGAUACUUGUAACAUUUGCCCUAUAAAGUAUCUGACUUCCGUGAUCAUCCAAGCCUUUUGCUAAGGAUUUGGCGAUCUCGCCAACUCCACCAACGGGGUAGUUGAUUCCGCCAAAAUGUCUGUCACAUAGAACCAUGCUUGCAUUGAUCAUUGGUGUUUGUAAUGCAUUAACUGUACUCACGAUAAAGCACUCUGCAUCUAUAAAAGACAGCAACCCAGGAUCUCUUAUAUACUUCCGAGCGAUGCUACCAGCAUUCUGGGGCAAAUAGUAGGCAAGAGUCAAGCAUUCAAGGGGCUUCUUAAAGAACUGGCCAAAAAGGUAGAUGGGUUCCUCCAAAGACUUCAGUUCCAAUGAAUUCAGAGAAUUAAAGAUCUUCCAGCAUUCACUGUAAAAUUUGAUAAUCCCUUCCUUUUCAUGUGGAAAUUUACUCACAAGCUCUUCAAUGAAGUCAUCAUACUCUCGGUGUAUACGAACAGAAAGGUCAUUUGGCAGGUGGAAAUGUACAGUUGUUGGGUCAGGUAUAACUUCUAAUUUACGUCCUACUGCUGCCAAUGCUUGAGUAAUUAAAUUGAGGUUUCCCUUAUCACUGAAUCCAAACAUCACUGAUGAACCAACAUCAAACUUAUAACCAUCCCUCUCGUAAAAGCCAGAGCUUCCACCAGGAAUAACAUACUUCUCCAGAACUAAAACCUUAGCUCCCUUAACCGCCAGCUGCGUCGCUGCCACCAAUCCACCUAUUCCUGAACCUAUAACAAUGGCAUCAUAGCUGCCACUCUCAUUUCCUUCUACAUCACUACUGCCAUAGCUCUCCACUCUUUUGUCUACAUCUACAACUGCUUUCAAAUUGGAAACAGUACCCCCUCUUCUUCCCUUAGCCUUGUCCACCCCCCAACUCAAGCCACAAAGCUGCUGCUGAUCAGUACAAUUUCCAAUUAUCAAAGGGUCAAAACAAGAACUUCUCUGUUUAUUGUAUCUUGGUUUGCUAUCACCCAAAGCUACAGUCUUGCAGGUACCAUCAAGAAGUGAAUUAGGAUACAUAAAACUCAAGGUACACAUUUCUCUUAUUUCACAAAAUUUUGGGCUCCCUGGAAAGUUAACCAAACAAGACUAGAACUUUUGCCUUGUGGGUUUCAAGCUAUCCAAUUCUUUACUUCUGCAGCUGCCAAAAUACUGAUAAAUUAAAAAGAUUGAAUCUUUUUUUCUUUAAAUUGCUGGAAACCCAAGAUUACAAACACAAUAAACUACAAAAAUGGAAUCUUGACAACUCUUUACCUCUGCAACUGCAAAAGCAGAGAAAAUUCUAAAAACUUGAAUCUUUUCACUUUAAAUUGUUCAAAUUCCA
RNAcentral lists this unclassified non-coding RNA (2262 nucleotides) under Hevea brasiliensis (rubber tree). The record is from RNAcentral. Lineage: Eukaryota; Viridiplantae; Streptophyta; Magnoliopsida; Malpighiales; Euphorbiaceae.